UACGAAGGGGGCUAGCGUUGCUCGGAAUCACUGGGCGUAAAGCGCACGUAGGCGGAUUGCUAAGUCAGGGGUGAAAUCCUGGAGCUCAACUCCAGAACUGCCCUUGAUACUGGCGGUCUCGAGUCCGGGAGAGGUGAGUGGAACUGCGAGUGUAGAGGUGAAAUUCGUAGAUAUUCGCAAGAACACCAGUGGCGAAGGCGGCUCACUGGCCCAGUACUGACGCUGAGGUGCGAAAGCGUGGGGAGCAAACAGG
This 253-nucleotide ribosomal RNA is filed under the name uncultured bacterium. Its description in RNAcentral is "partial 16S ribosomal RNA". It matches the Rfam family "Bacterial small subunit ribosomal RNA", at positions 524 to 776 of the family's 1533-position model. The record is from RNAcentral.